RNAcentral lists this ribosomal RNA (250 nucleotides) under uncultured bacterium. RNAcentral describes it as "partial 16S ribosomal RNA". It matches the Rfam family "Bacterial small subunit ribosomal RNA", at positions 524 to 773 of the family's 1533-position model. The record is from RNAcentral.
GACGAACCGUCCUAACGUUGUUCGGAAUCACUGGGCUUAAAGGGCGCGUAGGCGGCCUUGAAAGUCGGGGGUGAAAUCCCACGGCCUAACCGUGGAAGUGCCUCCGAUACUGCAAGGCUCGAGGGAGGUAGGGGCAGCGGGAACUUCCGGUGGAGCGGUGAAAUGCGUUGAUAUCGGAAGGAACGCCGGUGGCGAAAGCGCGCUGCUGGACCUCUGCUGACGCUGAGGCGCGAAAGCCAGGGGAGCAAAC